UACGGAGGGUGCGAGCGUUGUCCGGAAUCACUGGGCGUAAAGGGCGCGUAGGUGGCUUGGUAAGUCGCUUGUGAAAUCCCGCCGGCUCAACCGCGGGGCUGCAGGCGAGACUGUCAGGCUAGAGCUCAGUAGAGGUGAGCGGAAUUCCCGGUGUAGCGGUGGAAUGCGUAGAGAUCGGGAAGAACAUCGGUGGCGAAGGCGGCUCACUGGGCUGAUGCUGACACUGAGGCGCGAAAGCGUGGGGAGCAAACAGG
RNAcentral lists this ribosomal RNA (254 nucleotides) under uncultured bacterium. Its description in RNAcentral is "partial 16S ribosomal RNA". It matches the Rfam family "Bacterial small subunit ribosomal RNA", at positions 524 to 776 of the family's 1533-position model. The record is from RNAcentral.